UCUCAGCCCUCACCCCACCCAGCAGGAGGGCGUGGGGAGGCGGGGCAGCGGGUUGGACCAGGUCUCCUGACAUGGGGCUGCAGCCAGGUGGGGUUGGGCUCCUGGGAUUCCCAUGCGCGUGGACGGUGGGUCAGAUGCUGUAGCCGCCAUCUGAAGCCGACGUGUGAAACUUCAGCUUCUUAGCAAGAUGUCUUAGAGGAUAAAAAUGAGCGGGCAGAUGAAGAGAUACUCAGGGUGAGGUUUGGAAGGUGCACCAGGCCCACCCCAUGGAUGUGGCUCAGAGAGCCUGGGAAACGUGAGGUCUGUGACCUGGAUCAGGCCCAGAGAGACCUGAGCAGGAGGCGUGUGAAGCCCCUGCGCCUGUGCGAGGAGGGAAGCUGUUUCAGGGAAUUUGCCUUUCUUUCCCUGUAGUUUCAGACUAGCUGAUAAAUUACCUAAAAUGUUACCACAAGAUGCACAAUGUAACCAUCACUCAUUAUCUUCAUGUUCCUGGAAUUUUUUUUUUUUUUUUGAGAUAGAGUGUAGCCUCAUGGCAGCCUCAACCUCCUGGGCUCAAGUUGUCAGAGGCGUGUGAACCAGAGCAACUCCAUCUUGAAUGGGGCUGCGUAAAAUGAAGCUGAGACCUGUGGGGCUGCAUUCCCAGACCGCUGUGGCAUUCUGAGUCACAGGGUGAGACAGGAGGUCAGCACAAGAUACAGGUCAUAAAGACCUUGCUGAUAAAACAGGUUGCAGCAAAGGAGCCGUCCAAAUCCCACCAAAACCAAGAUGGUGACAAGAGUGACCUCUGGCCGUCCUCACUGCCACACUCCCACCAGCCGUGACAGUUUACAGAUGCCAUGGCAACCUCAGGAAGUCACCAUAUAUGGUCUAAAAAGGGGAGGUAUGAAUAAUCCACCCCUUGUUUAGCAUAUCAUCAAGAAAUAACCACAAAAACGGAGAACCAGCAGUCCUCGGGGCUGCUUUGUCUAUGGAGUAGCCAUUCUUUUUUUUUUUUUCGAGAUGGAGUCUCGCUCUGUUGCCUGGGCUGGAGUGCGGUGGCAUGAUCUUGGCUCACUGCAACCUCUGCCUCCUGGGUUUAAGUGAUUCUCCUGCCUCAGCCGAGCUGAGUAGCUGGGCUUACAGGCACCCACCACCAUGCCCGGCUAAUUUUUUGUAUUUUUAGUAAAGCCAGGGUUUCAUUAUACUAGCCAGGCUGGUCUCGAACUCCUGACCUCAUGACCUGCCUGCCUCAGCUUCCCAAAGUACUGGGAUUACCGGUGUGAACCACCGUGCCCAGCCAGAGUAGCCAUUCUUUACUCCUUUACUUUCCUAAUAAACUUCCUUUCACUUUACUCUGUGAACUUGCCCUGAAUUCUUUCUUGUGAGAGAUCCAAGAACCCUCUCUUGGGGUCUGGAUUGGCACCCCUUUCCUGUAACAAAGCCAUUCUCCCACCUUAGCCUCCCAAAUAGCUAAGACCACGGGUGUGUGCCACCGUGCCUGGCUAAUUUUUAAUUUUUUUUUUUAAGAGAUAGGGUCUCCAGCCUGACCAACAUGGCAAAACCCUGUCUCUACUAAAUAUACAAACAAAUGAGCUGGGCAUGGGGGCGGGUGCUUGUAGUCCCAGCUACUUGGGAGGCUGAGGCAGGAGAAUUGAUUGAACCCGGGAGGCAGAGGUUGCAGUGAGCUGAGAUGGCACCAUUGCACUCCAGCCUGGGCACAGUGAGACUCCGUCUCAAAAAAAAAAAAAGAUGGAGUCUCACUGUGUAACCCAGGCUGGUCUCGAACUCCUGACCUCAAGUGAUCCUCCCGCUUUAGCCUCCCGAAGUGCUGUGAUUACAGGCAUGAGCCACCACACCCAGCCCACCGUGCAGGCAGUGACUCACACCUGUAAUCCCAGUACUUUGGGAGGCUGAGGUGGGAGAAUUGCUUGAGCUGAGGAGUUCAAGACCAGCCUUGGUGACACAGUGAAACCCUGUCUUUGCUAAAAAUAAGAAAAUUAGCCGGGCGUGAUAGCAUGUGCCUGUAGUCCCAGCUAUUCUGGAGGCUGAGGACAGGAUGGCUUGAGCCUGGGAGGUGGAGGUUGAGUGAGCUGAGAUCAGGCCACUGGGCGACAGAGCAAUAGCCUGGGAAAAGGAGAGAGGG
This 2122-nucleotide long non-coding RNA is filed under the name Homo sapiens (human). RNAcentral describes it as "HSALNT0384001". Lineage: Eukaryota; Metazoa; Chordata; Mammalia; Primates; Hominidae. The record is from RNAcentral.